RNAcentral lists this ribosomal RNA (253 nucleotides) under uncultured bacterium. RNAcentral describes it as "partial 16S ribosomal RNA". It matches the Rfam family "Bacterial small subunit ribosomal RNA", at positions 524 to 776 of the family's 1533-position model. The record is from RNAcentral.
UACGAAAGGUGCAAGCGUUACUCGGAAUCACUGGGCGUAAAGCGCACGUAGGCGGACUCGUAGGUCAGUUGUGAAAUACCUGAGCUCAACUCAGGAAUUGCAGCUGAAACCGCUUGUCUUGAAUACUUGAGAGGGUGGGGGAAUACCUGGUGGAGAAGUGAAAUUCGUAGAGAUCAGGUGGAACACCGAAGGCGAAGGCGCCUGCCUGGCAAUGUAUUGACGCUGAGGUGCGAAAGCGUGGGGAGCAAACAGG